RNAcentral lists this transfer RNA (71 nucleotides) under Marmota monax (woodchuck). RNAcentral describes it as "tRNA.Ala". It matches the Rfam family "tRNA". From Rfam's summary of the family: Transfer RNA (tRNA) molecules are approximately 80 nucleotides in length. The record is from RNAcentral. Lineage: Eukaryota; Metazoa; Chordata; Mammalia; Rodentia; Sciuridae.
GGGGUUGUGGCUCAGUGGUUGAGCACUCACCUAGCAUGUGUGAGACCCUGGGUUCAAUCCUCAGCACCGCA